GGAGGGGUAACGGCCCACCAAGCCUAUGAUCGGUAGCCGACCUGAGAGGGUGAUCGGCCACAUUGGAACUGAGAUACGGUCUAAACUCCUACGGGAGGCAGCAGUGGGGAAUAUUGGGCAAUGGGGGAAACCCUGACCCAGCAACGCCGCGUGAAGGAAGAAGGUUUUCGGAUUGUAAACUUCUGUCCUUGGUGAAGAGAAGAAGACGGUAGCCAAGGAGGAAGCCCCGGCUAACUACGUGCCAGCAGCCGCGGUAAUACGUAGGGGGCAAGCGUUGUCCGGAAUGAUUGGGCGUAAAGGGCGCGUAGGCGGCUUUAUAAGUCUGGAGUGAAAGUCCUCUUUUCAAGGGAGGAAUUGCUUUGGAAACUAUAGAGCUUGAGUGCAGGAGAGGUUAUCGGAAUUCCCGGUGUAGCGGUGAAAUGCGUAGAUAUCGGGAGGAACAUCGGUGGCGAAGGCGGGUAACUGGACUGCAACUGACGCUGAGGCGCGAAAGUGUGGGGAGCAAACAGGAUUAGAUACCCUGGUAGUCCACACGGUAAACGAUGAAUGCUAGGUGUAGGAGGUAUCGACCCCUUCUGUGCCGCAG
Molecule: ribosomal RNA, 586 nt
Filed under: uncultured bacterium
Lineage: Bacteria
Description: bacterial SSU rRNA
Rfam family: Bacterial small subunit ribosomal RNA
Source: RNAcentral